This 467-nucleotide ribosomal RNA is filed under the name uncultured bacterium. RNAcentral's name for it is "partial 16S ribosomal RNA". The record is from RNAcentral.
GACUACCGGGGUAUCUAAUCCUGUUUGAUACCCACACCUUCGCAGUUUAGCGUCAAUUACGGCUUAGAAGACUGCCUUCGCCUUCGGUAUUCCUCCUGAUCUCUGCGCAUUCCACCGCUACACCAGGAAUUCUGUCUUCCCCAACCGCAUUCCAGAUCUACAGUAUCUAAUGCCUUACGACGGGUAAGCCGUCGCCUUUAACAUCAAACUUAUAGAUCCGCCUACCUGCCCUUUACGCCUAGUAAUUCCGGACAACGCUUGCAACCCCCGUGUUACCGCGGCUGCUGGCACGGAGUUAGCCGUUGCUUAUUCAUAUGCUAAUAUCUCUGAUCUCAUGCUAUUCACAUAAAACCCAUUGCUCACAUAUAAAAGAACUUUACACCCCGAAGGGCUUCUUCGUUCACGCGGCGUCGCACUAUCAGUCUUUCGACCAUUGUAGACUAUUCUCGACUGCAGCCCCCCGUAGG